UACGUAGGGGGCAAGCGUUGUCCGGAAUCAUUGGGCGUAAAGAGCGUGUAGGCGGCUCGAUAAGUCCGCUGUGAAAGUCCAGGGCUCAACCCUGGAAGGCCGGUGGAAACUGUCGGGCUAGAGUCCGGAAGAGGCGAGUGGAAUUCCCGGUGUAGCGGUGAAAUGCGCAGAUAUCGGGAGGAACACCAAUGGCGAAGGCAGCUCGCUGGGACGGUACUGACGCUGAGACGCGAAAAGCGUGGGGAGCGAACAGG
RNAcentral lists this ribosomal RNA (254 nucleotides) under uncultured bacterium. Its description in RNAcentral is "partial 16S ribosomal RNA". It matches the Rfam family "Bacterial small subunit ribosomal RNA", at positions 524 to 776 of the family's 1533-position model. The record is from RNAcentral.